UGUAGGAGCCGGCUUGCUGGCGAUGAGGUCCUCAAGUCUUGAACUGCCUUAAGGCCGCCAUCGCCAGCGAGCCGGCUCCUACA
RNAcentral lists this unclassified non-coding RNA (83 nucleotides) under Pseudomonas migulae. The record is from RNAcentral. Lineage: Bacteria; Pseudomonadati; Pseudomonadota; Gammaproteobacteria; Pseudomonadales; Pseudomonadaceae.